RNAcentral lists this ribosomal RNA (436 nucleotides) under uncultured bacterium. Its description in RNAcentral is "partial 16S ribosomal RNA". It matches the Rfam family "Bacterial small subunit ribosomal RNA", at positions 29 to 507 of the family's 1533-position model. The record is from RNAcentral.
AUGAACGCUGGCGGCAUGCUUAACACCUGCCAGUCGAACGGGAAGUGGUGUUUCCAGUGGCGAACGGGUGAGUAACGCGUAAGAACCUGCCCUUGGGAGGGGAACAACAACUGGAAACGGUUGCUAAUACCCCGUAGGCUGAGGAGCAAAAGGAGAAAUCCGCCCAAGGAGGGGCUCGCGUCUGAUUAGCUAGUUGGUGAGGUAAUAGCUUACCAAGGCGAUGAUCAGUAGCUGGUCCGAGAGGAUGAUCAGCCACACUGGGACUGAGACACGGCCCAGACUCCUACGGGAGGCAGCAGUGGGGAAUUUUCCGCAAUGGGCGAAAGCCUGACGGAGCAAUGCCGCGUGGAGGUGGAAGGCCUACGGGUCGUCAACUUCUUUUCUCGGAGAAGAAACAAUGACGGUAUCUGAGGAAUAAGCAUCGGCUAACUCUGUG